GACGAACGCUGGCGGCGUGCUUAACACAUGCAAGUCGAACGGAAAGGCCCUGCUUGCAGGGUACUCGAGUGGCGAACGGGUGAGUAACACGUGGGUGAUCUGCCCUGCACUUCGGGAUAAGCCUGGGAAACUGGGUCUAAUACCGGAUAGGAGCCAUUUUUAGUGUGAUGGUUGGAAAGUUUUUUCGGUGUAGGAUGAGCUCGCGGCCUAUCAGCUUGUUGGUGGGGUAAUGGCCUACCAAGGCGGCGACGGGUAGCCGGCCUGAGAGGGUGGACGGCCACAGUGGGACUGAGAUACGGCCCAGACUCCUACGGGAGGCAGCAGUGGGGAAUAUUGCACAAUGGGCGCAAGCCUGAUGCAGCGACGCCGCGUGGGGGAGGACGGCCUUCGGGUUGGAAACUCCUUUCGCUAGGGACGAAGCUUUUUGUGACGGUACCUAGAUAAGAAGCACCGGCUAACUACGUG
This 465-nucleotide ribosomal RNA is filed under the name uncultured bacterium. RNAcentral describes it as "partial 16S ribosomal RNA". It matches the Rfam family "Bacterial small subunit ribosomal RNA", at positions 28 to 507 of the family's 1533-position model. The record is from RNAcentral.